GACGAACGCUGGCGGCGUGCCUAACACAUGCAAGUCGAACGGAGUUAAGUGCUUCGGCAUUUAACUUAGUGGCGAACGGGUGAGUAACGCGUGAGAAACCUGCCUUUCAGUGGGGGACAACAGUUGGAAACGACUGCUAAUACCGCAUGAUACUUUUUGGGGGCAUCCCCGAAAAGUCAAAGCUUUAUGUGCUGAAAGAUGGUCUCGCGUCUGAUUAGCUAGUUGGUGAGGUAAUGGCUCACCAAGGCGACGAUCAGUAGCCGGUCUGAGAGGAUGAACGGCCACAUUGGGACUGAGAUACGGCCCAG
This 308-nucleotide ribosomal RNA is filed under the name uncultured bacterium. Its description in RNAcentral is "bacterial SSU rRNA". It matches the Rfam family "Bacterial small subunit ribosomal RNA", at positions 28 to 334 of the family's 1533-position model. The record is from RNAcentral.